UGCUUGCCUCAGCAGCAUGAUACUAAAACUGGAAUUAUACAGAAAUGAUAAGCAUGGCCCCUGCCCUAAAACGACAUGCAAAUUUGUGAUAGUGUACCAUUUUUG
Molecule: small nuclear RNA, 105 nt
Organism: Talpa occidentalis (Iberian mole)
Lineage: Eukaryota; Metazoa; Chordata; Mammalia; Eulipotyphla; Talpidae
Source: RefSeq, a predicted model, not a curated record